Molecule: ribosomal RNA, 368 nt
Filed under: uncultured bacterium
Lineage: Bacteria
Description: bacterial SSU rRNA
Rfam family: Bacterial small subunit ribosomal RNA
Source: RNAcentral
GACGAACGCUGGCGGCGUGCUUAACACAUGCAAGUCGAGCGGAAAGGCCCUUUCGGGGGUACUCGAGCGGCGAACGGGUGAGUAACACGUGAGUAAUCUGCCCUUGGCUUUGGGAUAACCACCGGAAACGGUGGCUAAUACCGGAUAUGACGGGCUCCGGCAUCGGGGUUCGUGGAAAGUUUUUUCGGCCAGGGAUGUGCUCGCGGCCUAUCAGCUUGUUGGUGGGUAAUGGCUACCAAGGCUUCGACGGGUAGCCGGCCUGAGAGGGUGACCGGCCACACUGGGACUGAGACACGGCCCAGACUCCUACGGGAGGCAGCAGUGGGGAAUAUUGGACAAUGGGCGGAAGGCCUGAUCCAGCAACGCCG